AAUAUUAUAUGGAUACAUAAUGAUUGUAGUAUACUAUAAUAGUUGAAAAAAAAUGACUCAACAUUAAAAUGUCUUUUAAAGGAGAAAAAAGGGUAGCAAUUACUAUAAUUAUAUGUAGAUCAAGGAGAUAUAGAAGAAUCAAGAAGAUAUAGAAAUUUUAAAAUAACAUGAAAAUGAAAUAUAUGGUAAUGGAGAGAUGAGGAAAUAGUAUAUUUAUAAAUGUAUUAGAAUGGAGCAUAAUAUAAUAAUUGGAUUAUAAUAAAUAUGAAAUGAUAAAGUGAUACUAUGAAACAGUUAUAUUUUUAACUAUGUAAAAAUGGAUUUAUUUCGAGUGGUAAGAAAAAACAAUGAUGUAAAAUUUGUAGAAUAUUUAAUUUUAACAGAAUAAUUAUAAUGACUACAUUUAUUAUCUAUUAUAUGUGAAAAGGAAAUGUAAUAAAAA
Long non-coding RNA from Sitophilus oryzae (rice weevil), 442 nucleotides. RefSeq lists it as uncharacterized. NCBI's taxonomy places the organism in Eukaryota, Metazoa, Arthropoda, Insecta, Coleoptera, Curculionidae. The record is from RefSeq and is a predicted model, not a curated record. The transcript has 3 exons.